UUUCCUACGGGGGGCAGCAGUGGGGGAUAUUGCACAAUGGGGGAAACCCUGAUGCAGCGACGCCGCGUGAGCGAUGAAGUAUUUCGGUAUGUAAAGCUCUAUCAGCAGGGAAGAAAAUGACGGUACCUGACUAAGAAGCCCCGGCUAACUACGUGCCAGCAGCCGCGGUAAUACGUAGGGGGCAAGCGUUAUCCGGAAUCACUGGGUGUAAAGGGAGCGUAGACGGCUGUGCAAGCCUGAAGUGAAAGGCGGGGG
This 255-nucleotide ribosomal RNA is filed under the name uncultured bacterium. RNAcentral describes it as "partial 16S ribosomal RNA". It matches the Rfam family "Bacterial small subunit ribosomal RNA", at positions 335 to 607 of the family's 1533-position model. The record is from RNAcentral.